RNAcentral lists this ribosomal RNA (440 nucleotides) under uncultured bacterium. RNAcentral's name for it is "partial 16S ribosomal RNA". It matches the Rfam family "Bacterial small subunit ribosomal RNA", at positions 338 to 795 of the family's 1533-position model. The record is from RNAcentral.
CCUACGGGAGGCAGCAGUGGGGAAUAUUGCACAAUGGGGGAAAGCCUGACGCAGCGACGCCGCGUGAGUGAAGAAGUAUUUCGGAAUGUAAAGCUCUAUCAGCAGGGAAGAAAAUGACGGUACCUAACUAAAAGACCCCGGCUAACAACGUGCCAGCAGCCGCGGGCAAACGUAGGGGGCAAGCGUUCUCCGGAUUUACUGGGUGUAAAGGGAGCGUAGGCGGUUGAGCAAGUCUGAUGUGAAAGCCAUCGGCUCAACCGCGGGACUGCGUUGGAGACUGCCCGGCUAGAGGGCAGGAGAGGUGAGCGGAAUUCCAGGUGUAGCGGUGAAAUGCGUAGAUAUAAGGAGGAACACCAGUGGCGAAGGCGGCUUACUGGACAGUAACUGACGUUGAGGCUCGAAAGCGUGGGGAGCAAACAGGAUUAGAUACCCCAGUAGUC